CGCACCUUGCACCCUUUGGCAUUCCGAAGGGUACAUCUGUUUGAGUGUCAUGUAUACCUCGACCCUUAUAUUUGCGAAAAUAUAGUGUAGUCGGAUGUUGGACUUUGCUGUUGUACAGCUCGUUCGAAAUUCAUUAGCGAUCCCCCUACAAAUCGGAUUGACCCAGUGUAAUAAGCCUUUCAUUGGGGAAGUCUUCAAUGCGGCCGAUUUAUAGGGAGUAGCUCCGAACCCUUAUACCUGAUCUUUAGACCUCAAAUCAGAUGGGACUACCCGCUGAACUUAA
RNAcentral lists this unclassified non-coding RNA (283 nucleotides) under Septobasidium sp. Its description in RNAcentral is "partial contains 5.8S ribosomal RNA, internal transcribed spacer 2, and large subunit ribosomal RNA". Lineage: Eukaryota; Fungi; Basidiomycota; Pucciniomycetes; Septobasidiales; Septobasidiaceae. The record is from RNAcentral.